Lactuca sativa (garden lettuce) is the source of this 1672-nucleotide non-coding RNA. The record is from RefSeq and is a predicted model, not a curated record. NCBI's taxonomy places the organism in Eukaryota, Viridiplantae, Streptophyta, Magnoliopsida, Asterales, Asteraceae.
UGACCCAGUUCUUUAGUCCUGAUGAUGGCUGUGAAGAAGCCUAAGAUCCCGGCAAAAAUCUUUCGGUUCUUGGCCCCCUUCCCCUAUAUCCGUUCUUCUUUCUCCUUCGUAGAAAUCAUCCGAUUUCUCUUUCUACUAAACAAGUUUUCUUCCUCUCUCAGUAAAAAAAAACCCUAAGUCCACUCAGUUACAUCCUGCGUUUCACCACCGUGUUUCUCUUUCUUCACUACUUCUGGGUACAAGUACUCUAUAUCACAACAACACGUUUGAAAUUUGAAUUAGUAUCCCCUCAUUUUCAACAAUCUAAUCGUAUCUUCUCAUUUCCAGCAAUUGAUUCGUUCAUACAUACGAGAGACAUGUUAUAUAAACGCAUCUCCUCUCCCAGCCAAUUAAAACCCUAAAAUUCUAAAUUCUUUCAAUCGGUGACCAACUCCCACCUGCAGAAGAUGUAGACGACGACCACCACGCAUAGAUACCGACCGCGGUCACUCAGGCUAACUCUUUUGUUUUGAUUGAUGUCAGGUUAGAUUUUUCUCAUACAUAGAAAAUCAAAGGGGCUACCUAACUUGAAGAAAAUGCAAAGGGAACAAAGAAACGAUGAUUCUAUGUACAGAUUAGAUAGAGGAAGAUUGCUACACCUAUUAUUAUUUCCUUUGUUUUUCUUGUUGGAGAGAGACUCUUAAAAAUCACAUUGUUUUCGAAUCUGGGAUAAAGAUAAAUAGAAGCAUGAGUGAAAGGAGGCGUAGGAAAAAAAUCAGAGGUUGCUAAAGGUUUUUGAAAAGAAUGUGAAGUCAAUCUCUUACUGGCACCUCAAAGCUAUUUUCAUGUUGUUGUUGCAGAUCAGGUGAUUGAUGAAAAGCCUCAAUGGUUUUUGUUAUUUCCCUUUUACAUUUUUCAAUUCAAAUGAGACAAACAUACAUCAAGGGUGCAGUCUUACCAUUUUGGACUCGGGACAUUCCUUUGCCUCUUUGAUCUUUAUCGUUUGUUUACUUUUAAAUAAUCAUGUUGGCAACAUUAAUAGUGUAACCUGAUGUAUCGUUUGCAGUCUCUUUUGAAUUAAUCAUGUUCAGGAUUUAGAUUUCAGUUUGAGGAUCAUGUUGGCAACAUUAAUAGGGUAAAAGGGUCUUUAUAUAUGGAUGGAAUGUUGUGGUGAUUGACUGAACAUCAAAAAUCCAGGGCUGUUUAGACAUGUGGGUGCUUUGAUGAGGGGAGGGGUGACAACUUGGAAUAUGUGUGUGGAUCAUCAGGCAUCAGAUUUAUUUAUUUAUUUAUUAUUUCACAACUUCUGUCGAGGGGUGGUUGUAUUGUUGAUGAUCAGGUCUCAAUUAAAAGGUAAGGUCUCACAUUCAUUUAUGCUAUUAAAUAAUGGAAUUUAACUAAGUCGGGGUUGGAUUUCAUUUAAAUCAUUUUUGCAAAUUCUUGUCUAGCUAUAUGCAUUUUAUUCUCUUCUGUGGAUUCUAUUGGGUUUUAUUUUAUACAGUUGUAUGGAGAAAUUUUUAUACAUGUGAUGGUUUGAUUUUAUAGUACACGGCCUUGUCAUGCUUUCCCUCAAUGGUAUUCUGUUAUGUAGAAUCUAUGGUGUAUUCUUUUGGCGUUUUUUGAUUACUUUGUCUUUCUAGAUGUAAAACUUUGUUUGGCCAUUUUCCUAGCCGGUCUUUUUCUUUUCUUGAUA